This is a non-coding RNA of Oryctolagus cuniculus (rabbit), 362 nucleotides long. The record is from RefSeq and is a predicted model, not a curated record. NCBI's taxonomy places the organism in Eukaryota, Metazoa, Chordata, Mammalia, Lagomorpha, Leporidae.
CAGACUACCAGCUGAGACACCUAAUGCUAGCCAGGCGACCAGGCUAUGUAUCUCCUGUUGGCCAGGAAGAGGACCACCCGAUUCUGAGACCCACUGCACAGACAACCUGGGCCUUUGCUGCACACAGCCUACCAUGGAGGGUCCAGGGAUGUGCCCCAGCUUGGGAGGAAGGCGACCACUGCAGAGGUGUGGCCCAGGCACGACCAAAGUCUCCCGAGACCAUACAGAACCACUCAUCUGGACCUCAGAUUGACAUCUGGAAUGAGUCCCUCAGCAUCCUCAGACACUUGUUCUCAUCAUCGAUCCAGAUAAGCACCCUCCCAGCAAAUAAGUAUUUCCAUUGCCAGGCUUAUUUUGUGCAA